Molecule: ribosomal RNA, 528 nt
Filed under: uncultured bacterium
Lineage: Bacteria
Description: bacterial SSU rRNA
Rfam family: Bacterial small subunit ribosomal RNA
Source: RNAcentral
CGUACAUCCAGAGAACUUAGCAGAGAUGCUUUGGUGCCUUCGGGAACUCUGAGACAGGCGCUGCAUGGCUGUCGUCAGCUCGUGUUGUGAAAUGUUGGGUUAAGUCCCGNAACGAGCGCAACCCUUAUCCUUUGUUGCCAGCGGUUCGGCCGGGAACUCAAAGGAGACUGCCGGUGAUAAACCGGAGGAAGGUGGGGAUGACGUCAAGUCAUCAUGGCCCUUACGGCCAGGGCUACACACGUGCUACAAUGGCGCAUACAAAGAGAAGCGACCUCGCGAGAGCAAGCGGACCUCAUAAAGUGCGUCGUAGUCCGGAUUGGAGUCUGCAACUCGACUCCAUGAAGUCGGAAUCGCUAGUAAUCGUAGAUCAGAAUGCUACGGUGAAUACGUUCCCGGGCCUUGUACACACCGCCCGUCACACCAUGGGAGUGGGUUGCAAAAGAAGUAGGUAGCUUAACCUUCGGGAGGGCGCUUACCACUUUGUGAUUCAUGACUGGGGUGAAGUCGUAACAAGGUAAGCGUAGCGAG